UUGACAGCCUGGGAGAAUAACUUCUGUACUGAUAAAUCCAGAGAAUGAAUAUUAUAUUAGGAGUGAUAAUGCAAGCUCCCUUAGAGUAGCCCAUCAAUGUGUCUCUGUCCUGACCUGAAGGGGACUACCUUCAGAGACAGAGAAAGUUCAGUCUCAUUAAGCAUGCAUCUCUCAGCCUUU
This is an unclassified non-coding RNA of Calidris pygmaea (Spoon-billed sandpiper), 180 nucleotides long. NCBI's taxonomy places the organism in Eukaryota, Metazoa, Chordata, Aves, Charadriiformes, Scolopacidae. The record is from Ensembl.